RNAcentral lists this long non-coding RNA (1534 nucleotides) under Homo sapiens (human). RNAcentral describes it as "HSALNT0384168". The record is from RNAcentral. Lineage: Eukaryota; Metazoa; Chordata; Mammalia; Primates; Hominidae.
CGCAUGGUCCCAGCGCGCGUGCGCCCCUGAAGGCGGGUUCCGGUGGCAGCGCCGGGGUCUCAGACCCUGAGGAGACUGAGCCCAGCGCCAGGCGACCGGUCCCCGCCGCCGCCGCCCCUGCGCGGGAGAUCCCCCCUGCUUAGUCCGCGCCCGAGCCCCCGUCCGUGGGAACAGACAAGGGGCCUCCGCAGCGCCUCACAACCCCCGACCAGGUCCAGCGGCGGGGGACUCGGCCGUGGAGGGCGCUGUUCGGUCUGGAUGGCUACACCCCCCACCAGCAGGGGCAAGAGGAGCAGCGGGAUGGGAGCAGGCCAACGUCCUGCGGCCUGGUUGAGCUCGCACUGACAAUCGCAGGCCCAGUAACCCGCAGGUCACCGCGCUCCCCACCUGCGUUGCUGACGGUGACAUCGUCAGGGGAGGGGGGCGCGCCUUCCCAGAGGCUCAGGUCGCGAGGGUAGCCGGGGUCCGGGCGCGCCGCCGCCUCGUCGUAGCGCCAGUACUGCCGGCCGCGGACCAGAGUUGCUGCAGGCCAUCGCGGUCAUCCUGAGACAGGCGGUACUUGUCAGGGUCGCCCACCGGACCCUGGUAGAAGGGCCUCAUAAUGGAGUUGGGGGCUGAGGAGUGGCCCAGGCCCAGGGCGUGGCCAAACUCAUGGACAGCCACGGCAAACAGGUCGGUCCCCUCGCCGUCUGCAGGAGAAAGUGGGUGAGAGCUGCGGCCGCCCCUGCUUGGGGAAAGGGGCCACAGGAAGGCCCUGCGAGUGCAGCUGGGGCCAACAGGAACAGCAGGACACCCUCCAGAGGUGGCCCCAGCCUCCUCUGCCCAGCCCUUCCUGAACUCUCCAUCAUCCCUGUCUCCAGUCACUCAGUCAGCAUGGCUGUGAUGGACACUGGACCACAGGGCUGAAAAGAUCCAGAGAACACACAGAGGAAUAGGCCACCUUACACACCGAUGGGGCCCCUCCUCUGGGAAGGGAGCACUUUGUGCACAGAAGUUUGAGGGGGAGGAGCUGGGUGUGGUGGCUCAUGCCUGUAAACCCAGCACUUUUGGAGUCCCAGGUGGGAGGAUCGCUUGAGCCCAAGAGUUCAAGACUGGCCUGGACAACAUAAGGAGAUCCCCAUCUCUACAAAAAAAUUUUAAAAAUUGGCCAGGAGUGGUGGCGCAUGCCUGUGGUCCCAGCUACUCAGGUCCCAGGCUGAGGCAGGGAGGCAGGAGAAUCGCUGGAGCCCGGGAGGUGGAGGCUGCAGUGACGCAUGACCAUGUCAUUGCACUCCAGCCUGGAGGACAGAAUAAGGCCCCGUCUCAAAAAAAGUAAAAAGAAAAAAAAAGAAAAAGAAAAUAAAAGAAACUUAAGAGGGCGGUGGGGUGAGGGCAGGAGCCUACAAGGUGCGUGCCAUUCUCUUCAGGCAGCCCCAGCCCUGGGAGCAUCCCCUCCUCCCAGCUACAGUCUAUAGUCAGCGACCCCCACCCGUCUCCCCCUUGCCACCCCCAUCUGCUGGGGAUGUAGGUCCAUGUCCUUGACCCAAGACCUUCC